This 63-nucleotide transfer RNA is filed under the name Lopaphus albopunctatus. RNAcentral describes it as "tRNA-Cys". Lineage: Eukaryota; Metazoa; Arthropoda; Insecta; Phasmatodea; Lonchodidae. The record is from RNAcentral.
GGUUUUAUAUUCAAUUAUGAUUUUAAAUUGCAAAUUUAAAGGUGUAUUUUAAUACUAAGGCUU